RNAcentral lists this unclassified non-coding RNA (253 nucleotides) under uncultured Flavobacteriaceae bacterium. RNAcentral's name for it is "contains 16S-23S intergenic spacer region". It matches the Rfam family "Bacterial small subunit ribosomal RNA", at positions 524 to 776 of the family's 1533-position model. The record is from RNAcentral. Lineage: Bacteria; Pseudomonadati; Bacteroidota; Flavobacteriia; Flavobacteriales; Flavobacteriaceae.
UACGGAGGAUCCAAGCGUUAUCCGGAAUCAUUGGGUUUAAAGGGUCCGUAGGCGGGUUGAUCAGUCAGUGGUGAAAGUCUGCAGCUUAACUGUAGAACUGCCAUUGAUACUGUUGUCCUUGAGUCAUUAUGAAGUGGUUAGAAUGAGUAGUGUAGCGGUGAAAUGCAUAGAUAUUACUCAGAAUACCGAUUGCGAAGGCAGAUCACUAAUAAUUCACUGACGCUGAGGGACGAAAGCGUAGGUAGCGAACAGG